Non-coding RNA from Salvelinus sp. IW2-2015, 1244 nucleotides. NCBI's taxonomy places the organism in Eukaryota, Metazoa, Chordata, Actinopteri, Salmoniformes, Salmonidae. The record is from RefSeq and is a predicted model, not a curated record.
AGGUUGUCACACUCCAGUACAGUAGGUGGCGGUGUAUGCAAUUGUCAGUUCAUUGCGAUUCGCCAAUAAAACUUAUGAUGAAAAAGAAAGGCAACGCAACUACUGUAGUACGUUUUGAGUUGGCCUGCCUACUUGCAAUAUCCUGGAAACUGCCGUUAGAAACUGAUUUUUUCCCCCCUUGCUAUAUAUAAGACAGGCUACAUUGUAGCCAAUGCGUUUCUGUCCGUAGAGUGGCCAGUUUAGAUUGUUGUAGCAUAUGGUUUUGCAGUGAAACUAUAUUCAACUAAAUUUAAAGACGUUGGAUUUUUUUUAUUUUAUUGUAAUUGUUUGACUUUACAUAAAGGCGUCUGAAAAAAUGAAAGUGUCUUUCGUCGUGUGUGUGCUGAGCACCGUGGUCGUUUCUUGUUCGGGAGAAAAUAGUCGCUUCGAGAAGUCAUUCAACUAUUCCCCGGGAAUGAUGCAAGUCCUCCGGGAGACGCUCACGGAUUUGUCCGAGGAGGCGCACGGUUACCUGGUUCACCUUGUCGGGGCAAGGUCCGUUGAAACUGCACAGAAGUGUUUCUUUCAGGUGGUCAAGUAUAUAGCUGAGGCAGCGGCCAGUGGAGCGAAUGUGGUUAUGAAGUACCUCGCCCAGUUCCUGAUGGCAGCAGGAGUUGAUGACACACAACACAAAACCGGAUGAAAGUCUGACCUGCCAAGGGAGCCCUUUACCCACUGACAGACAUGCCCUGGAUUAGUUGAAAUGCCUGUUAACAGUAUCACCCCAGAUGCUGUGGUCUAUAUCGGUCAGUGGCUUCUGCUGGCUCUCAUUGGCUACUGGCUGCUGUCCCUGGCCUUCCGAUUGGUGGCGUCCACUCUGAGGCGGGUCCUGUGGCUACUGAAGCUGGGUGUGGUUUUAGGACUGUUUUGCCUGAUCCUAAGUGACCGCAGUGCUGGAACAGAGACUACGGCGCUGCGAUUGGCCGGCCUGGUGAGCGUCUGCGUCCUAUUGGGUAUCGGGCAUUCUGGAACCGGGGGCGACAAAACCUACCUGGAGGAUCAAGUGAGGGUGCUAGAGAGACGAGUGAGAGAAAUGGAGAGGAGGAAAGAGAAGUGAGGGGUGGAUGGAUGGGAACUGAAAGGCCUUGUUUUGUACAUUAAUCUAGGUCUAGGAUCGUAACAAGGACGUUGUACAAAGUUUUGUUAAAAAAAUUAAUAAUUGGUAUCGUUUUGCAUAAUGAAGCACUUUGCCUUUUUCAUAAACA